RNAcentral lists this unclassified non-coding RNA (387 nucleotides) under Hevea brasiliensis (rubber tree). Lineage: Eukaryota; Viridiplantae; Streptophyta; Magnoliopsida; Malpighiales; Euphorbiaceae. The record is from RNAcentral.
GAAAAAUUUUGAAUAAGAUCCAUCGUUUAAUCCCCUUGAAACUUUCGAAAACAUCCCUGGAGUUUGCUUGUUUGUUGGCCGGUUGUCCUGCUCAUCUGCCAAAGCCGUUGUCACUAGUGGCUGUUGUCUAGUGGGAUGUUGUUGGACUGUUCGCCAUGGCCUCGCCUGGCUACGGGCUAUUGCUGGUCUCCUGGAAGCUCUCCGGUGUAACUACUCGCUGCCAGAAAGAGAGAAAAAAGGAAUGAGAGGGGGAGGCGCUGCUGGAGAGAGGGCAACGGUGCUUAGGGAGAGGAGAGAAGAAGAGUGAGGCACCCUAGCGGAAGACAGGAGCCGGAGAAGACAGAAGUUGUCAGUGGAGUUUGGGAGAGAGAGAGAGGUGGUUGAUCU